GUCCACGCCGUAACGAUGAAUACUAGGUGUUGGGAGCAAAGCUCUUCGGUGCCGCCGCAAACGCAUUAAGUAUUCCACCUGGGAGUACGUUCGCAAGAAUGAACUCAAAGGAAUUGACGGGACCCGCACAAGCGGUGGAGCAUGUGGUUAAUUCGAAGCAACGCGAAGAACCUUACCAAGUCUUGACAUCCCUCUGACCGACUCUUAACCCGAGUCUUUCCUUCGGGGACAGGGGAGACAGGUGGUGCAUGGUUGUCGU
Molecule: ribosomal RNA, 259 nt
Filed under: uncultured bacterium
Lineage: Bacteria
Description: partial 16S ribosomal RNA
Rfam family: Bacterial small subunit ribosomal RNA
Source: RNAcentral